GUGCCAGCCGCCGCGGUAAUACGUAGGGGGCGAGCGUUGUCCGGAAUUACUGGGCGUAAAGGGUGCGUAGGCGGCCCUUUAAGUCGGAUGUGAAAGCCCGCGGCUUAACCGCGGAAUGGCAUUCGAAACUGGAGGGCUUGAGUGUCGGAGAGGGUAGUGGAAUUCCCAGUGUAGCGGUGAAAUGCGUAGAUAUUGGGAGGAACACCAGUGGCGAAGGCGACUACCUGGACGAUAACUGACGCUGAGGCACGAAAGCUAGGGGAGCAAACAGGAUUAGAUACCCUGGUAGUCCUAGCCGUAAACGAUGGGUACUAGGUGUGGGUGGUUUCGAUACCAUCCGUGCCGUAGUUAACGCAUUAAGUACCCCGCCUGGGGAGUACGUGCGCAAGCAUGAAACUCAAAUAAAUUGACGG
Molecule: ribosomal RNA, 413 nt
Filed under: uncultured bacterium
Lineage: Bacteria
Description: bacterial SSU rRNA
Rfam family: Bacterial small subunit ribosomal RNA
Source: RNAcentral